UGAAAACCGCACUGCAUCAAACGGGCAAAUGAACUUCAUGAUUUAUUUUCUUUUAUACAUAUUUCGAUAAUGAACUUUGAAAAAUGUACUUCUUCAGUUCAUUGAGCGCACUGCUUUCACAAAAAAAGAUUUUACAAACUGAGUAAUCCACACAAAUAGUCUUUUUUUUCUGUCUCCACACUACAAUCACACACAAACUACAACCCUGCUGCACUUUUUAUAAAAUGCACUGAACCACACACAUUAACAUAGCGAGAAUGCAAAUGCUUUUAGCCGCUGAACCACACGUGCUCGCUGGACGUACUGCACGCACACGUUGCUUCAACUGCACGAAGGCGUUGCCAAUGCACUGUACCAGCAAGCGAGCUGCAAAGCAAACUUCAGUGAGCUGCAAAAAAAACUUUAGUGAGCUGCAGAGAGGGGCCCCUCGCCUUGGGCAACCGGAGCCAUCGCCAUCCUGGACCCAUCAUCCGUCCACUCCGGCGCCAUUGAGGAGCCCACGGCCUGAUCACGGCAAGGAGCUCGAACAGAGUAGGAGGGGGUUGAUUGGCGACAAACUGCUCACCGCACUUCUUACAUCGGCACCGCCACCGGACUACAUGAACGCGUGCACCGCACUGCACGACACAUGCCGGAGACUGCGAGGGCUCACCCUCAACGAACUGCAUCAACGCACUGGAAAAUGUACAAAAUGAAAGCUUCUGAACUGUACUGCACUACUCAUCAGUUUUUCUGAAAACACUAAAUUAUUCUGAACACCAAAAAUUUUGGGACGGGAUGCGCACGGAGUCGCACUUCCGUACUGCACGCAGUUGGUGGCUGGGACCUCGCCAGAAUACGAGGAAAGGGGGUCGGCAGAGAGGUUGGGGAGAAGGUCACCUGAAUGAGAAGGAUGCGACGGGGGUCAGAUUUGCGGUGGAGGAAGGAGUCCAGCUGCACGCGCGCAGGUGGGGAUCCGGCCGCCAGCGCGUGGUGAUAGAGCUUGUCGUAUCCGAUGCGGGGGAGAUGAGGAGGUGGGUUGACUCGUCGGAACUGCACGCCGUCACGCCAUCAUGUGCGUGCGAACUGCAUCGACGACCACAACUACCUGCAACGAUAUUUUAUCUGCACUGCUCGCCGUCAGUAGGAAGACAACAUGGGUGCUAGCAGGGACAAACCGCAUGGGUGUGCGUGACCGAACUGCAAGAAUCAAGUGAGGGAGGUGAGGAGCGGCGGUGCUCUCGCUGCUCUCCUAGCUGCCGUGCUGCUCAC
This 1251-nucleotide long non-coding RNA is filed under the name Triticum aestivum (bread wheat). RNAcentral's name for it is "long non-coding RNA (TAES_LNC001695)". The record is from RNAcentral. Lineage: Eukaryota; Viridiplantae; Streptophyta; Magnoliopsida; Poales; Poaceae.